CUUACGAAAUAUUAAAGAAUGCUUGAUUGUGUUCAGCAUUCUAAUCGAUAAGAUCUUUUCAUACGGAGAGAAAACAGUUUUUUUAAAUAAAAAGCUGUAAUUCUCUGUAAGCUAUUUAAUUUCCCUAUAUUACAAACAAUUUACUGUUAAAAGAUAUUAUGAGCGUACAAUUGUAUAAAAUUUCGAAUAACUCCUUUAGAUUAAACCUUUAAAAAAGCGCACUUAUUAACAUUAGAUCGACAAAGUUAUCUAAGUCUACAUAAUCAAAUCAUUCAAUCUCAAUUAACACGUUAAGUGCGAAACGAGGCCUAAAUCACCCCUCAUGCAACUUCCUUGUGGUGCGGCAAGGAAAAACGUGAACAUCUCUGUCGUGCGAAGGGCAUAGCUUUGGUUUGGUCCAGUAUAGAAAAGAGAUAAAUGUAUAUUUGAGACGCGCUAAUGGUCCCGGACUAGGUGGUAUACCUACCUUGGUACCGGAUGUCUUAGGCCUCGUACCGCACUGAAUUAAUAUAAUUUUAAUGCAGUGCAGAACGAGGCUAAAACGUCCCAUAUCCCCAAUACCGUCUUUACCAUAAGGGCACACGGGGCCCGUGCCCAGGGCCCCCAUUCUCAGGGGGCCCCGAAGUACCAACAAUUUGGUUACCAAUUGUAGUCGAGAGCGGUCAUUUUCGCAGCCUACGAGAAUAUAAAAUGAAUUGCGAACAACAAUGUUACAAGAACGGCUGAGUAAUUAGUCAACUAUGGGCAUAGAAAGUGAUAUCCUUAAAAAAAAUUACUUUAAAGAUAUAAUGGAAUAUUUUGCGCAACAGAAAUCCCGAAAGAAACCAUUAUCGUAACCGUAACCAAAAAACCAGCAGCAGGUUUAUUAUAUCAUACUGUAUUUGAUUACCUAUUAUAAAUGGUCAUACUCAGUAAAAAAAUGUAAUUAUAAUUCGCUUUUUUUACUUUCCAAAAGGGCCUCAAAUUCUUGUGUGCCCAAGGGCCCCAGCCUAGUUUAAGACGUCCCUGCAUAUCCCCCCGGAUCUCGUACCGCACCCAACGCGAGCUUCCCGCGACUAGUGUUGUGCAUCACGUCGAUUGGAGAGCACGUCCUUUUACAUCGCCGAACAUGUCUAAACGAUGUCGGAAUAAGUUAAUUUAAAAAACCCAGAAACAGAACCAAAACAGGUAAGUUUUUUAAUUGAUAUUUUUGUAGGUAGUGAAAAACUCCACAAAAAACGCAAAGCAGCCGUUGACAAAACAGCCAUCUUUUAUAAAGGAUUACAGUGUUUAGUCCACCGAGAAGUGAUGUUCAACUAACCAAUCGGCCAAUAUUGCCCAUUGAAAAUUUGUUUGACGACGAGAGUGAUGAAGAGAUUUUCCCAACAAAUAAACGUCAAAAAACAUAUUUUUCUACUGAAUCAAAUAUAACUGAAAAAAUCGUACCUUUACAAGAAUUUAGCUCACAAGAAUGUGUCAUGAAUAAACAACAGUCUGACAAUAUAAAACAAAAUAUUGUCUUAUAUGGGCACCCAAACUCUAUAUUUAUUGCAAAUACAAGAACAUUACAACACAAAGCAAAAACACGUGCUCAGACUGCCACUAAUAAUUUUUCAAUUUACCUUGAUCAAGUGAAAGAACCAGAAGAAACAGUUAAACUGAGUCCAAGCAUCCGAAAAACUAUUCAACUCAAAAAACAAGAAGAAACAGUGUAUCUCAGUCCUAGUACCGGAAAAACUUGUCAAAUAUUGCAGAAUGUUCGCUUGUCCGCUUCUAGUGCUCCAACCUCACCAAGGCAUUUUAUAAAAAAACAAAAUCCUAUAGGUUCCCCUUCAAUAGAUUUUCCUCAUAUAACUACGGAGAGCAGAGCUGGAUCUUUGUCAGAAAUCUCACGCUCCAAUUUACUGGAUUGUGAUAUAUCACUUAGUGAGGACCACAUUCAACAAUUACUUCGUACACCGACACAAAAAAGACCGAGAGAAAAUGUUACAUCCGAAUGUACAUAUUCCAAAGACUGUAAUCCGUCCAAAACUAAAAAAAGUAAUGAAAUAGAGGUCUCUGUAAUUAUAGAAAGUAUUCCUGAUGACAAUGUUAAAGGAAAACGAGAUAUGAAUAACAAAUUGCCAACUGUUCUAAAAUAAUCUGAUAUUCUCGAAUAUGAUAUUAUUGAACAUAUAGACUGCGAAAACAAUAAUAUAAUACAAACAAACGAAAUACGUCACAGUGUGCAGAAUAUUCGAAAAUCUCCUGAGUUGGAUGAGAGUAAUAAUAUGGAAGAUGAUAAUUUUAGCGGUACUGACAAUGAUUAUAGUCCUUCGGAGGAAGAGUCUAGUAACCCGGAAGAGUAUGAUUCAAUGGAAAAUUGCGUUCAUUCAGAUCAGGAUUUAUCUCCAGAUAGUGAAAAUGAAGAAGCUACAGAAGAUGAAAUUUUAGUCACGGAAGAAACAUUACCCGGUGCGCAAGAAAUAUUACCCGGCACGCAAGCUAAAGAUCACGAUGAGUGGGAAAAUAUAUCGGAAAGUCCCAUAACUUUUAAUGAAUUCGAUGGAGAAUGUUCUUUUAAUUUACCCCCGUUUGUGGGAGUUACACCUGAAGAUAUAUACAAGAUGUUUGUUACAGAUGAGAUGAUUGAUAUAAUGGUAUAUGAAACAAAUGCUUACGCACAAAAAUAUAUACAAAUAAAUCAACAAAAUAUGAAACGUAAUUCACGCAUGACAAAAUGGAGUGACACCAGUUCUCAGGAAAUGAGAACAUUUUUGGCUGUUUUAAUGGCAAUGAGAUUGUGUAGAGUUCCUAAUUUGUAUCGAAACGAAUUUAUUUCUACAGUAAUGACAAGAGACAGAUUUUUACUGCUACUUAAAUGCUGGCAUGUCAGUGAUGUAAGUAAUGAAGACAAAACUGACAAACUAUAUAAAAUUAGAGAUAUGUUCACAAAGAUUACAGAAAAUUUUCGACGUAUUGCAAAACCUGAUAAGUAUGUGGUAAUCGAUGAAACCAUGAUACCAUGGAGAGGAAGACUAGGUUUUCGCCAAUAUAUAAAAAACAAAUCGCACCGAUACGGCUUAAAGCUUUAUAAGCUUUGCACUCCCGAAGGUUAUACUUAUGAGUUAGAGGUUUAUACAGGGAAAAAAAUCAGAAAAAAGAAUUAGAACACAGUAAAAAAGUAGUGUUAAUAUUGAUGACAAAUCUAACAGAAAUGGGAAGAAUCGUAAUAGUAGACAAUUAUUACACUUCGUUAGGGCUGGCAGAAGAUCUUCUAUCACAAAAACAUUUAUAUGCGGAACACUUAAUAAAACACGGAAAUAUCUGCCUAAGCAAGUUACUAGUUACAAAUUGCAGAAAGGCGUAAUUAUUGGAAAAAUGAACAAAAAGGGCGUAACGGUAAUGAAAUGGAUGGAUAAACGGAAUGUUUUAAUGUUGACGACGUGCAAAGAUCACGAUGAUAACCUGAUAGAUACUGGAAAAAAGAAGAGAGGAACCGAUGAAUGCAUAAAAAAACCAGGAUGUGUUCUGCUGUACAAUAAAACAAAAAAAGGCAUUGACUUUUCUGACCAGAUGUCAUCUUAUUAUACAGUUGAAGAGAGGAAUCAAAUGGUGGAGAAAAGUUGUAAUGGAGCUAAUAUUCGGUACAGCGCUAAUUAAUGCCUGGAUUGUGUUUAAUUCAAUCCAAAAAAAGUUACCGAAAAGACUCUUUGUGGAGAAACUUAUAGAAUCUUUUAUAAAAAAGGAAAUCGAUAAGAUCCCAGCACCUGAAAGCAGCGCACGUCAUUGCCUUGAAAAGGGUGAAAAAAGAAGAUGUGUUGGUUGUUACCAGAAACUACGCACAUUUUUACCAUCUCGUGAAGCUGACAAAAAAUCCAAAAAGGUUUUGACUCAGUGCUCUCAGUGCAAAAAAUCUUAUUGUCUACCCUGUUUCAAUGAAAAACACUCAAAAAUACAUAUUGAGAUUUUUUAUAAAAAAGUAUAUUGUUACUGAUUUUUUUAUGUUAAUUCAAGUUCUAAUAAGUGUAUUUUUAAAGCCCGAGGCAGAAUAAAUAGGAUAGUUUCUUUUCUACUUCUGGUUUUCUUUUUUCCUAUUCUGUGAACCGCAUUAAGACUUUUACACAAAAAUAGAUAAACGUCGUUGCGUCGAUAUUAUUUUUCUCAUCACUAAUCUUAGCGAAAAUUUACUCUAUUUCAGUGCGUUACGAGGUGUAUAAAAUCCCAUAUUUUGUUUUGCCAAUAAUUAAUAAACUAGCUAUGAGAUCCCGGGGCGACGGUAAAUUUUUUUUUUUUUUUUUUGGUCAGGAGGAAAUCGCCGGACUUCCGCCCUCCCCUGGGAACGGCGGGCGGAGCAUGUCGGAGUCGAACCGACUAAAACCUCCUGUCGCUCAACAACCAACGUCCAAACCUCACAUGAGACAGAACUCAUGAAAAGGCAAAGGGGGGAAAGUGAAGUGUUUAGUGCGGAGCACAUC
Molecule: long non-coding RNA, 4436 nt
Organism: Bombyx mori (domestic silkworm)
Lineage: Eukaryota; Metazoa; Arthropoda; Insecta; Lepidoptera; Bombycidae
Exons: 4
Source: RefSeq, a predicted model, not a curated record